This 328-nucleotide long non-coding RNA is filed under the name Medicago truncatula (barrel medic). RNAcentral describes it as "long non-coding RNA (MTRU_LNC002538)". Lineage: Eukaryota; Viridiplantae; Streptophyta; Magnoliopsida; Fabales; Fabaceae. The record is from RNAcentral.
AAGAUGAAGGUUACAGAAGAUUCGAAGGAUAAAGUUGAGGAGAAAGAGGUUAUCGUUUUGAGUGAUGAAGAUGACGAAGGAGAUGAUUCCGCGGAGGAAGUAGACGACGGUGAUGACGACGGAGACGAAGAUGAUGACGGUGAUGACGACGGAGAUGAGGACGAUGAUGAAGAGGAUGACGAUGAUGCUCCUGGCGGAGAUGACGAUGAUGAAGAUGAGGAUGACGACGAUGAAGAAGCAGGUGCCGGUGAGCGUGGUGGUGACCCUGACGACGACGACGACGAUGAUGAGAACGACGAUGAUGAUGAUGAGGAGAACGAUGAAGAGG